AUAUUCACAAAAAUUCAUAUUGCUUCUUUCUAAUGCCAAGAAAGAAGAGUAUAAGAACUUCC
Homo sapiens (human) is the source of this 62-nucleotide microRNA precursor. NCBI's taxonomy places the organism in Eukaryota, Metazoa, Chordata, Mammalia, Primates, Hominidae. The record is from Ensembl.